This 253-nucleotide ribosomal RNA is filed under the name uncultured prokaryote. RNAcentral's name for it is "partial 16S ribosomal RNA". It matches the Rfam family "Bacterial small subunit ribosomal RNA", at positions 525 to 777 of the family's 1533-position model. The record is from RNAcentral.
ACGGAGGGUGCAAGCGUUAUCCGGAUUCACUGGGUUUAAAGGGUGCGUAGGAGGGUAGGUAAGUCAGUGGUGAAAUCUUCGAGCUUAACUCGGAAACUGCCGUUGAUACUAUCUAUCUUGAAUACCGUGGAGGUGAGCGGAAUAUGUCAUGUAGCGGUGAAAUGCUUAGAUAUGACAUAGAACACCAAUUGCGAAGGCAGCUCGCUACACGAAUAUUGACUCUGAGGCACGAAAGCGUGGGGAUCAAACAGGA